UUGAAGAGGAUCGCCGAGUAGAUGCAGAAGCAGGUUGCUGCUGCACGCGCACUGCAGGCGCCAUCUAGCCCAAGGAGGAGAAUGACUCGGAGUUUGGAUGUAUUAUGUAAACCUGAAAGAUGUAUUAUGUGAACCUGAGAGAUAUAUUAUGUGAACCUGGGAGAUGUAUUGUGUUAUGUAAACUUGGGAGAUGUAUUAUGUGAUGUUAUAUGAUGGAUGAUGUCACACCCUGUGUUUCACCAUCAGUGUUUUGAGUUGCAAAAAUCAGGGUUUGUUAAAAAAAUUCUAAUGAUGUUGUGAAUGCUAUGAAUGCCUUCUAUGAAUGUAUGCUUGUUU
Molecule: long non-coding RNA, 336 nt
Filed under: Hordeum vulgare
Lineage: Eukaryota; Viridiplantae; Streptophyta; Magnoliopsida; Poales; Poaceae
Description: long non-coding RNA (HVUL_LNC003465)
Source: RNAcentral